UCUCCCGUGAGGGAGCAGUCUUGCCUGACAAAUAAAACAGACAACGGGGGUUGCGUUCGUUUCCCCACUUAAGGGAACAGCUCAAGCCACGAACUGACGACGACCAUGCAUCACCUGUCUAGCACCCUCGAAGGCUGACUCGGUUUCCCGAGCCGUGCAGCUAGAUUUCUAACCUUGGUAAGGUUCUUCGCUUACCGACGAAUUAAGCCACAUGAUCCACCGCUUGUGCGAAUUCCCGUCUAUUCCUUUGAGUUUUAGUCUUGCGACCGUACUACCCAGGCGGUUCUCUUAACGCGUUAGCUACGCCACGAAGAGGGUCGAUACUCCUCAUAGCUAGAGAACAUGGUUUAGGGCGUGGACUA
This 362-nucleotide unclassified non-coding RNA is filed under the name uncultured bacterium. RNAcentral's name for it is "contains 16S-23S intergenic spacer region". The record is from RNAcentral.